CCUACGGGGGGCAGCAGUCGAGAAUCAUUCACAAUGGGGGAAACCCUGAUGGUGCGACGCCGCGUGGGGGAAUGAAGGUCUUCGGAUUGUAAACCCCUGUCAUGUGGGAGCAAAUUAAAAAGAUAGUACCACAAGAGGAAGAGACGGCUAACUCUGUGCCAGCAGCCGCGGUAAUACAGAGGUCUCAAGCGUUGUUAGGAAUCACUGGGCGUAAAGCGUGCGUAGGCUGUUUCGUAAGUCGUGUGUGAAAGGCGCGGGCUCAACCCGCGGACGGCACAUGAUACUGCGAGACUAGAGUAAUGGAGGGGGAACCGGAAUUCUCGGUGUAGCAGUGAAAUGCGGAGAUAGCGAGAGGAACACUCGUGGCGAAGGCGGGUUCCUGGACAUUAACUGACGCUGAGGCACGAAGGCCAGGGGAGCGAAAGGGAUUAGAUACCCCUGUAGUC
Molecule: ribosomal RNA, 446 nt
Filed under: uncultured bacterium
Lineage: Bacteria
Description: partial 16S ribosomal RNA
Rfam family: Bacterial small subunit ribosomal RNA
Source: RNAcentral